GUGCGGCGUCGGGGUGGAUGUGGCGUACCGUCAGCACGUCAUGGGGUUUUACGUUACGUGAGGAUAAUUCAACAUGCGUAUACCGUAAUUCAACUCAAUUAUCAGAUUUCGAGGACCAAGUAUCGAGAAAGAGAGAGAAAGAGACAGAAAGAUUUCUUAUUCAAUUUGUUUCAUUAUUUACAACAUUCUUUAUUAUGAGUAGCAUCUGGUUUGAUAUUCUUCCUGGAGAUUACCUGGGCCAUCACGCUCUUCGUACAGAUCUGCGUCAGAAAUGACGAGUCUCUUUGCUCGUGCUACUGGUCGGCAGUGGUGGCGAUAACGA
Bombus huntii is the source of this 322-nucleotide long non-coding RNA. RefSeq lists it as uncharacterized. Lineage: Eukaryota; Metazoa; Arthropoda; Insecta; Hymenoptera; Apidae. The transcript is spliced from 3 exons. The record is from RefSeq and is a predicted model, not a curated record.